This 459-nucleotide long non-coding RNA is filed under the name Heterocephalus glaber (naked mole-rat). RNAcentral's name for it is "lncRNA (ENSHGLG00000044433.1)". The record is from RNAcentral. Lineage: Eukaryota; Metazoa; Chordata; Mammalia; Rodentia; Bathyergidae.
CAAGAACAAAAGUCCAAGAAGAUAAUGGAGAGUAAACCACAAGGAGCAAAGAAAAUGUGGCGGGAGUUGACAAAAGCAUGCCACAUUCAAGCAUUUAGUCACCCCUGGAAUUCAACUGUUGAACAUCAAACAGAUCUGAGAGAGGAAGCAAGAAAGUGAGGAAGUGUUGGAGUGAGCAGAAUUCGAAUGAGCUCAAAUCAUGGAAAACAUGAGACAUCAAGGGUCAUCAUCUACAUCCCACUAUCAACCCAGCAGAGGAAACCAAGGGAAAAAAUACUCAGACCAGUCACUCUUCUUGACCUCUUGCCUCUUACUUAUGCCUGUCAUUGAAUGAAACCAGCUGGACCCAGAAAAUAAAAGAAGUGGAUUGGUGCAAUCUAUACAGGUUGGCUUCCUGGCUUUAGAGCAAGGGAUGGAGAGUGGAUACUAGUGCUGCAGGUGAAAACAAAUUAUCCAAGA